GCGAACGUGGCGGAAUUGGCAGACGCACCAGACUUAGGAUCUGGCUCCCGCGAGGGAAUGGGAGUUCGACCCUCCCCGUUCGCACCA
RNAcentral lists this transfer RNA (87 nucleotides) under Bryobacterales bacterium. Its description in RNAcentral is "tRNA-Leu". It matches the Rfam family "tRNA". Rfam says of the family: Transfer RNA (tRNA) molecules are approximately 80 nucleotides in length. The record is from RNAcentral. Lineage: Bacteria; Pseudomonadati; Acidobacteriota; Terriglobia; Bryobacterales.